GCAGUUCUAUGAAAGUACCACAUGCCA
Molecule: non-coding RNA, 27 nt
Filed under: Rattus norvegicus (Norway rat)
Lineage: Eukaryota; Metazoa; Chordata; Mammalia; Rodentia; Muridae
Source: RNAcentral